GCCUCCGGCAGAGCGCAGAGGCAGCGAGGGCGUGCGGCGCGGUCCUGGGCUUGGGGGAAGGCGGCCACCAGGGCUGGCCUCCGCGGCUCCGCGCCUCUCCCCCGGCCUCUCUUGCCCCGCGGCGUCCAGCCUGCGCCGCCAGGGCCCCGCGGACCUGCCAACCCGAGGCCAAGAGUGGAAUUGCCCUGCCGCUUUCCCGGGCUUGGCGGAGGGGAUCCCGGCGGAGAGCUCGGCGCUCACGAUGGCGAUGCGCAGCGAGGAAAGGCGAGGAGCUGCGUGCGGGCUGGGUGCCCUCGGAGCGCCGGGAGGCGGGGAGCGCCCGCCGCCGGGCCGGGGGAUGCUGCCGCUUGGGAACCCCCGCGGCGAAGUCUCUCCAUCUCCGCGGGGCUCCAGCACAGAGGUCGGGGCUGCAGGCCCUUUGGCCUUGGAUGGAAAGUGGGAAAUGGGGCGCGAGGCUGCGGACCCCCUAACGUGGAUUACUUGGUGCGUGUCAGCCGGGCUCAGAAGACCCACGACCUCGUCUCCAUCCUCGGAUUGAUUCAUUCCACCUGGCAGUCGGGUCGCUUUACCUAGAGGUGAAACCAGAGGUUUGAGGCUGGCCUGCAUAGGUGCUCCGAACCAAGAAAGAAGGGCAAGACACAAAGGUCAAAUCCUGCUCCAAGAAAAUGGAAUAUUUCUGCACCAUGAGAACAUCGCUCUGGGUUUUUUUCCUUAGGUGAUCACCACCGCCUGAAGGGCGUGCCAUCACCGUCAUUGCCACCGCCACAGGCACCAUCAACACCACCACCAUCAGCAUCACCAGCAACAUCAUCACCACGACCAUCAGCAUCACCAUCAUCGAUACGGCCACUGUCCCCACCGUCUUCCACACUGCAGUUACCCAUUCACCAAUCCACCAUGACAACCACCACCCCUGCUGCCACUGCCACUCCCCCUCCUUACUAUCACCAGAGCCACUGCCAAGUAACUCUUCAAAACCCCAAAACGAGGGACUGUCACUCUUAGCCGAAAUGACGCAUUCCAGACUGGUGGAGCCUACGGUUGCAUUAUGCCAGGCGAUGGGACCAAGUAAGUACAUUCUAGAGGAAUCCCCAAACUACUGGGCAACAGCAGAAGGUGAUGGAAAGCUUCCAUGUCUGGAGCCCAAAGACUCGUGUUCUUGCUGUGGCUCCGCCUUUUACCAACCGUGACCUUGAGCAAUCCCCAAAGUCUGACACAUAAAAUGGGGAAAAUCAAUAUCCAUGGCCUUACAGAUUUUAAAGGAGAAAACCCACGUUAAACGCUUUUCACGUGACUUAACCUACCAAGGUGCUAAAAAUCCUUCCUCUUGUCCAUCCCUCCAUCUUCUUCCACCCUUUGUUCUUCCGAUUCUUCCUUUUCCUAUUAUUCCCAGAUUCGAGACCCGCAUCCAUCCCCAAACCGCAGACUCAGGCAGAGAACCAUGACUAUAGGAUAAUAAGACGCGUUCCGACCCGUGAGCCUCAUAUCUGCCCCCACCCUCCCAUGUGCAUAGCACACUCUUCUUUUUCUCAAGAGGACCGAAACGAAUCCCAGUCCUUGGGCACCCGGCACGUGGAAGAUGGGUGAGGACCACGGCGGAAGAGUGGAGGGGGAGGUCCGGUCCCUGCAGAGAAGGGGGUCAGGCUCUGUGCAAGGGCUAAUUAAAAGGUUAGGCCCCGUUUCUCGUGUCCUCCAGGAGAGCUCGUAGGGCGAGCGGGGGGAAGGCCGAGGCUUCCUGAAACAGUCUGCCAACUCUGAAUUGCAGCUGCUUGCUGGAGAUCGGCUCCAGAGAGCUGUUUGCUUUGGCCAGAUGCGCUACACGGAAACAGUAGUAGGACAAUGUUGGGGGAGUGGCAGGGACCGGGGCAGAGGGGGCCCUGCGCAUUUUCAACAGGGAGGAGAGUUUUCUUUCCAGGUGCUGUCGGGCCUCGGGCUGCCUCGAGGAGCCAGUUGUGACUUGGGUUCGAGAGGCCGGCCUGCGGGGACAUCCAAGACGCUGGGGCUGAGCGUGGCGGGAGGAACAGCUGUGCCUGUUCGUGCACAAGUGGGCAGCGUGCCGAACGCAAGUUAAGCAAGGGUCCACGGAGAGCCACACUUUGGCUUUUUUCUUUUCUUCUUCUUCUUCUCCUUUUUUUUUUUUUCUGCCUUGUCUCCAUUUGGGCUGAGUUUUCAUGGGAUAGUGAAAAGUCUGUGGCUCGUGGACAUAUGUGACCCAGAGAGGACACAACCUGAAAGCGGAGGAGGGGGGCAUCCUGGCUGGGAGGUGGCGCUGGUGAGUGUGGCCCAGGCAACAUGAGCUUCCAGAUCUCACUCUUGCCAUUUUUCACUUUCUUUGCGGUAACACAUGAGAUCUCUUGCAGACCACGUGCCCUCACAGUGUUUGUGUUUCACACGCAUGUUCUCAUUCAACCUUUUCUCUUUAAAUAACUUUUUUAGGUUUAUUUUUGAGAGACACACAGAGAGAGCAUGAGCUGGGGAGGGGUAAAGAGAGACAG
Herpailurus yagouaroundi (jaguarundi) is the source of this 2495-nucleotide long non-coding RNA. RefSeq lists it as uncharacterized. The record is from RefSeq and is a predicted model, not a curated record. The transcript is spliced from 4 exons. NCBI's taxonomy places the organism in Eukaryota, Metazoa, Chordata, Mammalia, Carnivora, Felidae.